RNAcentral lists this long non-coding RNA (303 nucleotides) under Carica papaya (papaya). Its description in RNAcentral is "long non-coding RNA (CPAP_LNC012904)". Lineage: Eukaryota; Viridiplantae; Streptophyta; Magnoliopsida; Brassicales; Caricaceae. The record is from RNAcentral.
UCUAGCUGCCACCGCCCCGGCGGCCUGUUAACUUCUGCAAAACGCUGUUUUAUGUACAAGUUUGCUCUUCGUCAGUUCAGCAAUUACCAGGGUGAGCCUAAGGAUUCAUUGGUUUGAUCGUUUCUUUGGUUAUUCCAAGUAAACUAGCUUUCCCCGAAAUCACUUCGUUCUUUCAUUUCGCUCAAGGAUUACCCCGGAAAUUUGUCUACGGCGGAAAUUGUACAAUCAGUAAAUUGUCCUUCACAGCUUUUUUUGAAGGAAAUCAUUUAGACCCAAAGGAGAGUAGUUUGUUUUGUGCUUGAG